Molecule: long non-coding RNA, 37289 nt
Filed under: Zea mays
Lineage: Eukaryota; Viridiplantae; Streptophyta; Magnoliopsida; Poales; Poaceae
Description: long non-coding RNA (ZMAY_LNC003769)
Source: RNAcentral
CGCCGCACCCAGAACCCAUCCUCACCAGCUCCCAGAAUCAGGGGUUUGGUCUGGGGUCUUCGUCGGAGUUCGCGGGAGCACGAGGUGCACUCGCCAGGCACGACUGAUGGCUGGAGCGGAGGGAAUUCUUCACCGGAGCAUGGACGUCGUGGUGGUGUCAUGUGUCGUCGUGGGAGGACUCCCCCACUACACCGCUGCCUGUAAGAUGCCUUUACAUGAGUUUGUGUUGUCCUUCGUUACAUGUAGCGCCCUUUGUAUUAGGGGUAUGUGACCUAUGAUGCCGGGGCGCUGCCUCAUUAUCGUGUUGCCAUCGCGGGGUGGGCGCACGCCACUGGAGUGCAAGGUCGGAGCGAGAAUAAGAGGUUAGAGUCGUUGAUCUCCUUCUGGGCGACUCUGAUUAGAACGUGGAGAUACCCCUUUGUGCAUUAAACCGUAGUCGUCGGGUUUGGAUCGGAGGGAUAGGAUAACGUUUUGGCUAGAUCAGAUCUUGGUCAUAAGAUGGAGCGUUAGUGGAUUAGAUUAGAUCUCUCCCUAAUAAAAUCUAGAUUGUAUAUUCAAGAUCGGACGACCCUGAUUAGAAAUUGAGAUAAUGUUUUGAUCCGAUGAAAACUGGGCAUCAAUCGGGGAUCUAGCAGCUGGAAAUCCAUACCAGUUCAACGAGGGGAUCUAAUUCGCGCCUUUAGUUGAAGAUCUAGCGGCCGAGACACGCUCAUACCCCUUUGGCUAUUGUUGUUUUGCGUAAGAGACCAUGCGUUCCUCAAAAAGCAACCCGCAGUCCACCCCAGUGCAAAGACUCUCACGAAUUAGUCCUAAGAAUUCUGAUUUAGACCCUACAGUCUCCAAAAAUAUAAACUGCCAUCCUUUUUAGAAAUAAAAUAAAUAAAAAAUCAUAGGAAAUUCCCUGGAAAUCAUUUCUUAGGUAUAAAAUAAAUUUAAAAAUAUCUAGAAACUUAGAAAACUCAUAACUAUCACGUUUUAACUCUGAUUUUAGUAGUUCUCGAACCUGCAAUCUCGUAGUGACGUGUAAAAUAUUUCUAUAUAGUUUGUUUCCAUGCUUUGGUGUAAUGUUAUUGUAUCCCUUGUUUGCUUAUUUGUAUGUAUUGCUACCUACUAGAAGCGGGGUUGCAAGGAACCUGAAGCCCAACUCGGAGAAGUACCUGGUGCUACACCAAAAAGACAAGUUGUGUCCUUGAUCACAUUUUUUGACCUAAGAAUAUUUAUGUUUAUAAUAAUCACCAUGGCAUGCUUAGGUUAAAUUGAUGGGACCUAAUAGGUUACCUAGUUUUGUUUACCCUACACCUUGCAUACAAAUGAAUUAUUGGGUAGUCCUGCUAUUGCUUUACCUAGUUUUGGGAGUAAUAACAUUUAUGAAUUAUCAUCAUGUUCUAUUAUAUUGCUAGAUUAUUUAUUAUUGUGCUUGAUAAGAUCAUUUUGUUAAUUGGAAUAUGGAGCGAUCACCUGAGACAACAGUUUAACCACAACGACUAUAUGGCUUUGGUCUUGGCCAAUUAAUUAGGAAAGGUAGUGUAGGAUAAUCCAUUCUCGAUAGGGGCAAGUGGGGAGGCAUCGCUGCAGAGUAUAGUGAUAGAUGUAAUUACGACGAUGGGGUUACAGACUAUGAAAAAAGGCAUAUGCUUCCUUGGUCCAAAACGAUAGCGGGUUUUCUCAUACUAGUGGAACUUUGUAAAGGCCUUGUAGUGUACCCUCGCCAACUCACCUUGGAAGUGUUUAAGGGUCCGUACAAUCCUGGGCAAAAAGGGAACACAACUUGUGGGUAUAGACGUGCAACCUCUGCAGAGUAUAAAACUGGUAUAUCAGUCGUGCUCAUAGGCAUGAGCGGCUCGGGCCCUCACAUGAGUAAUUUAUGAAAUUAAAUUUAACAUGCCAUGCAUUGCAUUGUGCGAGUUAUUAAAUGUGAUCUCUUAUUUAAUUAGGAUAAUAUUUACUUAUAGUUAGUAAUUGCUAAUAAAAAUUUGACCAUCUUAUUUAAAAGUAAUGCUCAGCCUUAACCAUUUUUCUUAGUAAGCCUUACGCUACACAUGAGCCCCAACCGUAUGUGAGCUCAUACACAUUAUUCCCCACACUUGCUAAGCGAUGACCAUAUGGGAGCUCACCCUUGUUAUAAUCACACUAGAAUAAGAACAUGUACCGCUGGAUAAGCAUGAAUGAUGCUAUGAUGAGUUCAGAAAGGUCUAGGCCAUCGUCUCCUAGUUAACUAUGGUUGUGGAGGAUAGUUGCAAUCAUAUGAUGUAAUCUAUUUAGUUAUUUUUGUACGGAAGUUCUAUUAUAUAAUAUAGAUGUGACAUUGAGUUCUAUACCAUGAGCCAUCAUAUGUGUGAAACUUGAUCCUAGCACAUAUUUGAUAUGCAUCUUGAUUUGCCCUAAAAUCUGUGUGUGACAAGGUCCCCUGCCACACACAACGUAACCAAGUUCCCAUUCUACGAAUGUCAUCGCCAAUCCAUUGACGGGUCCAGUUGCGGCACAUGUUGUUGGGUCUCUUGUCAUUGAUGAGGUCCGGAUGCACCAUGUGUACUAGGACUUCUACUAGAUCCGCUGGCCCCCAAGAAGACCUCCUAUGCCAACUGCUCUACCAAGCACAAUGGGGUCCAAGUGCAUCACAUGCCCUAGGUGCCCGGUGCCUCUAAUGGGCUCCGGGCACACCACGUGUGUGCCCACACACACGUCAUAGUUGGUCAAGUGUUUGUGCAGUCAUAGUGUUGUUAUGCAUAUAUGACACAAGAGACAAGACUAUGUGCACAUCUUGCGAGCAUCCUAGGCAUGACACCAGUGCAUUACUGUGGGCGCAUGCAUGGACGACAUCCACCACGUCUGGUGAUGACAUCCACCCAUAAUGUGCAGCCAACAAUGCUACAUGAUGGAUGGGCAUUUACACCUUCUAUAUUAACAAUAGACUAUGUCUGGUUGCUACAUAACUUGUAACCACUCUCGCUUGAAAUAUAAAAGUUAGAGAGGAUAUGCAAUACAUAUAACAUCACAAGUUAUAUAAGUAAGAUAGUUAUAUAUUGAGAUCAAUAUAAAAAUUAGAAAAAAUAAUUAAUUACUUUGAUGUCUCCAGAAUUAAUCUUUCCUAUUGUGCCUCCAUUAAGCAUCAGUCACUUACGAGACAUUGUUUUAGCUAAAUUGGUCCCAUAAUAAGUUGAGGAAUACCAAUACAUGUGACGUGACAAAGGAUGAACAAGACUAGUAGAAGGUAUCUAAUUCACUAUCUUGAUAUUUAAAAAGAUAUAAGAAGCUACAAUGACAAUGUCAAAGUUGAGAGUCAUGUUAUCUCACAACGCCCUCUCCCGUUAACCCAUAGUUAUUGAAGUCUGCAUAAAUAUGUUGAAGGGGUGGGAUAAUUAAAUUGUAUUAUGUCAUCAGGAAGGUUGGAUGCAUAAAUAGUGAGGUGUAAUGUAUGCUACUAAGGCUUCGCCAUUGGAUGAAUAUGUAAAGUUCUUUUCUUGAUUGAAUUUUGUUAUUCAAGAUUUUUGGUAAUUUUGGAUGAUGGGUUGCACAACCUAUCUAUGAGAAAGGUAGAAAGAUAACUCUGGAUACUUGCUCAAUCAUAAACAUGGCUAGCAUGGAGCAUAUGAGUGAGCGACUUAGAUUUUCAUGGUGCAGAAGCGAUGGAUGAAAACUAUUUGCACAAUUCAAAACUUAACAUCCAUAUUGCAGCGCCCCUCAUUUUCAGUUGCCUCUAAACUCUCAAGUCAUGGGAAUAAUUUAAUAAGGGGUGGGUAAAACAGAAGUUCGGCAUGACCCAUUGGUUGUAGCCCCGUGAAGCAUGGCAAACACCCGAUGCAUUUAAAUAAACACCAUAGCAGGUUUCAUUGUGAGAAAAACAUGACAAAUGUAUGAUGUACAUGACAUUUUUCACAAAAGGGAAGCAACAAAAAUGUGAGGAAGGAAAAUUAACCAAGGGCUGAGAACUUAUACUUCAUGCUUAAAUAUGCAAUGGAGAUUAUCAACCAAAAUGCAAUAGUGAUUUUGCUUUCAGAGUCAAAUGUUAGGAGCAGUUACUAUUUCAGUUGGAAUAUAACAACAAUGGCAACAUUUCUAGCAAUCCUUGGAUUGACGGUUCUUCCUGUUGGAACAUAAAUUAUCAAAAUGUUUGAGGAUAAGUUUGUGGAAUUUUCAUGCCUCGGUACAAGCAUGAAUUAUGACCUUUUCCCUUAGUGACCAACGGACCUGGUUUGCCUUGAAAUUUUUUGAUUGAUUCAUCCUCAUCAUUAUCUUUGUUGUAUAGUGGGUUUUGUGGUUAACAUAUAAUGAAUGGAGCCCAGUCGUUGUCAGGGGUGAAAUACCACAAGAACUCUGAUUCUCUCUUAAAUGUGUUUGAGGCACAACAACUUGAAACUGGCAUCUACAACUAGGAGUCAAGCAUUGUUUCAAUGUAGUCUGCUUGACUCAGCAUCAUUUCUACACAAUCCCAUGCUGUGACACCAUGUCUCCGGUUAUCCAUCACGCUCGAAGCAUGCUCGUUGGAAGAGGCUAGGAUGGGGUAAACCUGGCUAGCAUCACGUUGACAGAGGUUGUUCAAAGACUCAUUCGAGGUGAGGGACCAAAUGAAAGCGUUUCAACCAACUACGCAUCCCAUUGGGCCUCACGUUUAACUAACAUGAGGCCAAAAGCAUGCUCAUGCAUGAAUUGUAGGCGAUUUCUUGAAUGGACGAAACCAAUCAUAGAUGCAAAUGCAAUGAAAUUUCAAGUAAUUGAUCACCCGAUUUCCAUACCAAAAACAAUAGUUGUGUGGUAUGUGGUAAGGCCACAAUAUUGAUACCUGUUGCACUACUCGACAGUCACUAGAAAUAGCACUUAAUUAGAACCAAUAAUCGAACACAAGCUAGCCUAUUAGUAGUCAACUACUAAUAGUGAGUCGACCAAUCCAUAAGGAAGAACAAAUCAUAGGCUCAGCUCACUGAGAUACAACUCAAAGCACAUAAUGCGACAGACUACGCCCUCCUUUACGCCCUCCUCCUUGUUGGCGUUACAUGAGGAUCAUGAACACUUACGUCUCUUUCAGUCGAUAGGGGCUGACUCAAGUAGGACAUCACCAGGAGAUACUUCCACCAGUUGGUCGACUCAUUCGAGUACUCACACAGGCACGACGCCUACUACCAUAAGCUCAAGCCGCAAAACAUACUCGUCGAUGAGCUCGACAACCUCAUUGUGUCUGAUUUCAGACUCAUCAUCCUCUGAGAGUGCCAGAAACAGGAUAGAUGGUUGCACACCACCUGCCGAGAGUGCCAGACGGAGGAAUGACAAACAUUCGAAUAUCUCAUUUCCAGUUGCCUCUAAACUAUCAAAUCAUGCCAAUGACUUGAUUUUUUUCUAUGAGUAGGUGAAAUAGGAGCUAAGCAUGAUUGCAUAGGUCAAGCCUACAAGUAAUAUAAAAUACAAGGUUACGUGCCAUAGCAUGAUAUAUCAUCAUCACUACAGCAGCUACAGUCAUUUUCGGCAGCCUUUGCCACCGAAAAUAAGGCCUUUGUCGCCGAAACUAUUUUCGGGGCCUUAUUUUCGGCGGUCUCUAGUCGCCAGAAAAAAUUAGCCAAAAACAAGCUUUUAUUUUCGGCGGCCAGGUGACAGCCGCCGAAAAUAGCUUAUUUUCGGUGGCCGCCAUCAAAAAUAAAUGCUUAUUUUCGACAGUUGUCACCUGACCGCCGAAAAUGUGCCAUGAUUAUUUUCGGCGGCCACAAGUUGGCCACCGAAAAUUAACAAUUUCAGAGAAAAAAUUGAAAUAAAUGAAAUGCAAAAAACAGCAACUUCAGCAACAAUAUAAUCACAAAAAUAUGACAGAAACAAUAAUUUCAUAAUUGCACACAUUUAACACAAAGUAUUGUAAUUCUUCACAACCACAUUGAAGUUCACCAAAAUCAAGUUCACAGUUCACAAAUGGUUCACAGUUCACAAAUACAUUACAUAGUCCAUUACAACAUAAAACAAACUCACAAAUCAGCACAAGACUCAAACCAUCACAUAUCGGGGUCAUUGGAGUUGUGACCACUACCUCCAGAAGCGAACAACUCGUUGACGAAGUCGUACUGGUUUGGAUUCUAAGGAAAAAAAGAAGACAUAAUCUUUUCAUAAUUAUUUUUGCACACAUCAAUCUUUUCAUAAUCCAUACUGAGACCUUUUGAUAAUUAUCUUUGAAUGGUACAUGUCUUUAGGCAACUUAUUGGGAUUUGACAGCACAUCUCUUAAUAACUUUAAAAUCUCAUUGUAACAGUUGUUCGAGAAAAAAAUACUUGGACUUAAUGGUCAUAAGCCGGGUCACAAAAGUGAGUAUACUCACAUCUGUGUGUUCAUGCAACGACUGUUCAGAGUCUUUUAGUAGUUUAAAAAUCUGGAAACCUCUAGUGUGGCAGGAUCCUUGGAGCUUAGGUUUAACUCUGGACGUAGCGAAUCUAGCAUCUCAUGCAUCGCAUCAUCGUCAUCUCAAUCAUUGUUCUCCUCCUUUUCUACAUUCGGGUUGAGUACUACCUCACCAUGAUGUUCUCACACCUCAUAUCCGGGCAUAAAUCCAAACUGACAAAGAUCUAGGCUAACUCUUUCCUUAUUAAUGACAUAUUGUUUUCAUGCCGCCUACAAGGGUAGCUGACAGUGUUGGUUAAUGACAAGGAGAAUAUGUGGUCCACAAAAUCUUUGGACUUGGCUACCCAAUCAUCAGAAUGACGCUCAUUCCUACUUCAGCCAUUGUACAUCUAUACAUGAUCUUCAGCCAUGCUUGAGACUAUUAAACCGAACCAUAUCGUGAAAACAUUAUUCAACUUCGUCAAGGAUAUCGGUCCUACAUGUAUAGGCAAGGAUGGGUUCUAAACCCACAAGCUAACAGGACCCAAAAAAAAUCGGCAGCAUAACCUCGCUUCCACUAAACAAUAUAUUGUACUUAUAAAACUAAUAAUAUAAUAGUACCACAUAUUAAUAUAAAAUUAAUGUUACAAAUACAAUAUGCCUCUAAUCCCUAAACCAUAUAUACCACUAAUACAUUAAUGAAAUCGAACUAAACAAUAAUACUAAUCACACACACUAAUCAAACAAACAAAAUUACAAAUAUAUACUAAUUUCGGCGGCAAUUAAAUAACGGACGCCGAAAAUAUAUAAUAAAAUACGCAAAAAAAAUAACCUUGAUGGGAGCCGAGGUCGACGGGAGCUGAGGGUGACGGCAGACGACGGGACGGGGCAGAGUGCGGCGUGGCCGGCGGCGCGUCGAGGGCUUGGCGGCCGUCGGAGCGGCGGGGCGGGCGGCGCGUGGCAUGGGGCAGCGGCACGCGUCUCGGAGACGACGCGGGGAAGGGCGGCGGAGAGAAGACGCGCAGAGAGAAGAGAAGACGCGCGGGAGCAGUAGAUAGAGAGAAGAGAGGAACGAGCCAGAGGCGGAUUUUAAAACCUUAUUUUCGGCGACCUCUAACACAGUCAUCGAAAAUAAAAUGUAAUUUUCGGCGGCGGUAUCAGAGGCCGCCGAAAAUAGCCUUAUUUUUGGCAGCUGUGUUAGAGGCAGCCGAAAAUAAGCUUAUUUUCGGCAGCCACCUCCAGCCGCGCGAAAAUGGUUGUGCAUCACGAAAACAUUACGAGGACACCAUCUAUAUGAAUGAUGUGGUUCGCUAUCAUGGAAAGCCGAAUUAUAAGAACAUGAAAUUUUCACGGAUGAGAAGCAACACGUGAAGAAAUUUGAUUAACCAAAGACUAACAUUUUGGUUGAACGAGCAACUCGGGAAGCGUGGGAGCCAUUUGUGUGGAACGCCAUCAAUCAACUAGCAUUAAGAAAAUAGACAAAAAUAAAUCUCCAUAGCUUGCAAAUCAAUUCAUGUAACACUAAUAAUGCAUGAUAUAUAUGUAUGGAAACUACGGUUAUACUCAAGCUAUAUAGAUUAGCACACAAUUUGAAUUGUUUCUCUUACAUUAAAAUGGUUGUUUUAGAAUAUAAGCUCUCCACUGAUAUGGCAUCUAAGUUUGAAUUAUACCAUGGAGCAGUCCAUCAUCAAUUCAUGUUGCCGCGCACGGGCCAGUAAUUGUGGGACAUAAGAAAUAUACAUGACUAACCAAAAUUCCUUAACAUUGAUAUUUGCUUAGUUUAUAUUAAUUCUUACACGGUUAUCAUUUUAGAUUUUUUAAUCUUUAUCCGGUUGUGCUAGACUUUUAUUAUUCACUUUUCAAAUUCAUAGUUACCACCUCUGUGUCACACGGUCACACCUCUAUCUGUUUUUGACAUGUGUUUGGUGAAACUAUCUAUCGUAUAUCCAUAUCCUAACACAACACUUAUCUAUCUACUUAGUAAUUAUAAGAUUAUCUAUAUUCUUUUUCCCAUUUCAUGUAUUUUGCAUUUCGAAAGAACACUUGUAUAGUUAUCUUCUUCACAUUAUCUUAUCAUGAGAUACUUUGCUUAUCAAUUACUAGUAUAUUAUAUUUUCUUCACAAUUACAUCGUACUUUCAUAUUUUCUACAAAUCUAUAAUCUAUAAUGUGUCUUUGGGUCAUUUCUAUUUUGUUUUGUUGAUUAAAUAUUCAACACAUUAUUUUAGACUAACAUAAUCUUGUAUGAGCAUAAGCACAUAUAGUUAAAGCAAAUUGAGAAAAAGGCACUUUUAGGCUUGAAAAUGGGCAUACUAAAAAUCUAUAUGGUUCCAAGUGAAAAAUGAAUGCUUCUAGUACUUAGUCAAUUGUUUUAGGUACUAAUUAUAUUUGUCUAAGUGUUAGGGACUAUAUGAAGUCGAGCCAAAAAGAGCAAAGAAAUGUUGGCAUGAAAAAGAAGCAUUCGGUCUGCUCUGGGUAGCACCGGACAAUCCGGUGAUUGUCCGGCCGAACGGGUUGCUCUUGCGAAAAGCAGACUCCUUCGGCUAUAAUUCACCGGAUGGUCCGUGCGGAGCGCCGGACAAUCCAGUGUGUGAGCCGGCCAACGGCUACAAGACACGUGGUCGCUGCGCCCUGCUCCGCGCCGUUCUUUGUCCGCGCGGGUGGGCAAGCCAGCAGACGCGCCUGCUCCAUUUCACCGAGCACCCAGCCACUCUCGCCUCCUUUUGCUCUCGUCUCACUCUCUCACACCCACUCUCGCCCUCGCUUUCUUCUUCCACCCCGACGCCGCGUCGCCAUGGCCGAUGCGAGCUAAGGUCGUGGCCGCGCUUUCCCUCGUCCACCACCGUCCAAACCGAACACCGCCCUUGCUUCGCCGCCGAGCCAAGAACCCGGAGCCCCUCGCUUGAGCUCGGAGAAGCUCCGAGCACCGUCGUCGACGUCGCAGUUCUUCGCUUCCCGCCGGCGCGCGUGGACCGAGCGUCUCCGUCCACAACCUGUCGAGCCGAGGACGCCGUCGAGUUCACCGUCGACUGCUGAUACUCCCCGACCGUUGCCUCGUUCGCAUCGUCGUCGGUAAGCCGUCGACCAAGCGCGCCUCAUCUCCCUUCUCUCUCUCUGUUCUAAGGAAGACGAUGGAUGUAGUGCACAAAUAGAUCAAAGCCAAGGAGUUUUUUCGCAAACGGUCAUAGACUCAGUGGAAUAGUAUCCAAGGACUGUAACACCCAAAAUACCAUUUUGGUGGUCUGGUAAUACUCACCAAUCAAUCAAAGUAAAAAACAAUAAAUAUAAAAUAUAAUAACAAGACCAUAAAACAAAGGUAAAUAUAAUUGUUUUUGUUGAGUGAUUUUUUUGUUUCACAUUUGGGAGCAUUAAUCUAAACGAAUAGAAUCAUAAAUAAAUACAUCAAAACUUCUCUUUUCACCUCAUGUGGGGUUUUCUUGUUUGUUUCAUUCAUAUUUGAAUUUGCUAAUCGAAACCAUAUUUGAAUUUGAAAUUAGAAAGGAGAUUGAUAAAACCAGAAAAAAUAUAAAAGGAGAAACUUGCCCGAUGCCUAAGCUUGGGCCAGAACCUAUCCCGGCGGCCCACUCCAUAUCCCCUCUCUCGGCCUGGUUCCCUUCGAAGCAAUCCACGCGACCCAGGGAUCUCCCACAGCGCCGACUAGCGGGCCCCCUGCUAGUCUCACCCGUGCGCUCGCAUACCCCCUGCAACCGCUGGCAAUCGGGCCUGCUCGAACGGGUGCUUCGUGAGGCCUUGCUUUCGCCGCGCCGGGGGCCCAUGGUGUCAGGGGCGUCCUCUACAUCAGAACGCAAUAGACUGGGCGCCGGAUUUGGGUUGUUGCGUUGGCCGUGGAUCUCGCCAUUCAUGCGGACUCCGCCUAGGAGGAUCCUCAUCCCUGCCCAUUGCCUAUCCUCGCCCCACGUGCAUAUAAGCAGACCCCCCCCCAUUAGCCCUCCAAAACCAAAGCCGCGCACGGAGCCAUGGUCGCCCUACCAUUAUCGCAAACACAGAGAAAGAAAAGAGCACCGUCGCCGUUGUAGCCAAUCCCGCUCAUCCACCGUCGCUUCAACCUCGGCAUGGUGCAUCGCCCGUGGGUACAGCACCCAUCCAUGGUCUCGCCGUGCUUGGAUGGCAUGAAGCGUGACCGGAAUUUCUCGUCAGGGCAAGGAAAUCACCGCCGAUGCCGUGGACAGAGGCUUUGUGCCAUGGAUAGUCAUUGAGAGGACCUCCCAGAUGUUCGUCGGGCCGAGUAGAAGCUUUGGGUAACACCAAUUUGGCGGGUAUUGCUUCGGGGCUAAGCUGAUUGCUCAUCGAAAGCACACCGCUGCCUCCGAUCGACACCCUAGCGUGGCCAGUACCUUCCCUAUCGUCACCAUUGGUGAGUUUCCCCUCCACAUGGUCACCAACUCACCAUCAUCCCCACUCUGUGUAGCUUCUAUUGGAUAGGCAAAUGACUCUCAUGUGCGCAAACGGGUGUGGCUCCGGCGAGCCCGCCACCACCUUCGCUUGGACCUUCGCUUGGAUCAUGAACAUCGAUCCGGAAUCGUGGGGCUUUCAUUGUAUACCGAUUUGAUGAGGGCUGCGACUAAUCCGGGCCGCCGGAUCAUGAUCAGGUGGCUGGGCAACAAACAGAUCCUUUUCGGCUAGCCUAUUUCACAUACGAGCCCCUGUGCUUUGGUGAAUUAAACCCGUGGUCUAGCCUUAGUCCAAAAUUAAUUGCGCAGAGGUCCUUUUCUUCGCAAAUUCAACCCUGAGCUUUUAUCUAAUAGUGGUCGCGGUCCAAACACCUUUGGUUAUGGAUAAAAUUAAUUCGAAAAUAAUUUUUAAUGCAAAAGUAAUUCCAAAAUCUUAGAAAAAGCAUAACUAAUUCUUUUUAGCUCCGAUUCAAUCCGUUCCAAUUGCAUUAGAUUCAUUAUAAUAUUGUCCAAACAGUAUAGUACUAAUUUACAUCAUAUUCUCCACUUUUAUAAUUGGAUAAUAAUUUAACCUAUGUUUAAAUAGAUUAAUCAUUUUUUAUUAAAAACUAAGUAUGAUUUUUUAACUUGGUUUUGAUUCAAUAGUAACUUAGAUUAUGGUGGAACUAUUUUCUAAUAAAUAUCUCCCCAUGGGAAUCACAUUAAUUAACAAAGAAUAUGUAUAUUACCACUAUUUAGCCUCACAAAACUUGGGAAAUCAUAUAUUUAUAACCGUAACUCCGAAUUUAGUGGUUCUCGAACCAGCGAUCUCGUUACAACGCGUAGAAUAUUAAUAUGUAGUUUGUGCUUAUGUUUGGUCUGAUGUUAAUUUUGCCUAUAUCAUGUUUGUUUGUAUUGCUACGAAUAGCAGUGAGGUCACGAGAAUUUGAAGAUCAUCCUGGUACCUAGAAUCUCGAGUCCCAGGCAAGUUAUGCCCUUGAUCACUCCUUUUUAGCUAAUAAUGUCUGCUGUUAAUCACUGUUACAUGCUCAAGUUAAUUUGAUGGGACCUAAUAGGUUUCCCUAGCAUUGUUUAUUCCCCACCUUGCAAACAGAUGACCUAUUGGGUAGAUUUGCUAUUGCUCUAUCUGGUUUUGGGAAACUAAUGUUUUAUUAUGAUCAUGUUCCAAUUAUGUUGUUUAAUUAUUGUUCAUGAUAAGAUCAUAUUGUUAAUUGGAACAUGGAGCGACCACUCGGUAAAACAGUGUUACCACAAGGAUGGUAUGGGACUGUAACACCCUGAAUUUGGGGGUAUAAAUUUUUUUUCUAAUAUCCACCAAAUUCAGGUGUUACCCUCUUACUUUCCUUCUUUUCUACUCUUUUUCUAAAUAGUGGAGAGUCAUUUUGUUUCAUAUAUGUGUAAGCCUAGUAAGAAUAGAACCCUAAAAGAGUCCUUGAUUAUUGCAUAACAUGCCGAGACAUUUUAUUGUAUGGUCAAUUGUUGUGGUGGUGCAUCCAUUCAAACUCAUGAAGUACAUUUGAAUUUUGGAUUCAAAAGCUAUAUCUAAAUUUGAAUACAAAUAGGUAAAAGAAUGUGGGAAGAAAAUAGAAACAAAAAGGCCCAGCUCGCCCCUUUUCUUUUUUCCCCGCGAGCCGACCCACCAGAUCCACUUCCUUUCCCGCGACCCAGCUCGCACUCUCCUCUGCUCGCGCUAGCCAGCCCAGGCACAGCCGUGGCCCAUCUCCUCUUAUCGGCCCAGCCCCUCACCUCGGCCUGCUCCGCGUUCCCCCUAGCCCUCCCACGUCCAGGCGCAACCACCUGCGUUGCUGGCCAGCCUGGCAGCCACAUGGCCGGCCCCAUGCAGCCACGUCCUACGCAUGUAGUCUCUAUUUUUUCCUUCUCCAAACCGCCAAGGUCGAGGCGUCAAGCUGCACGCACCCACGAUGUAUGCUUUCGUCUCCCUCGCGCUCGGAUCCACGGAGCGUUUUGACGGUUCGGCCGCCGGCCGGUGAGCCACCAUCGUGCUCGCCCUCGUGGCGCUCGGCCUCGUCGUGCCUGCUGCGAUCGUGCAGCAGCAGCCAGCAGGCAAGCCAGAGCCGCCGCUGCGGAGCCUGCGCUCGGAGCUCCGCCUGCACCAAGCUCAUCCCGCCGUCGCCGAUCAUCGUGAGCAGGCGAGUAUUUCCUUCUCCCUCCCUCCACCCGACGCCCAACCGCCUCCUUGGUCCCUGCCCACUCGGCCAAGCGGCAAGGUCGGCCAGAGGCCAUGGUGAGGGUGAGGCCCCGACGCAGCGGCCAGGGCAGAGCCCCCUGCGCGUCGGACCUAGUGUGCCUAGCCAGCCCAGCCCCCUUGCCGGUGAGCCGCCGGCAGCCGGCUCGGCCCCUACCCCCGCAUGUCUAUGGCGUGGCAUGAACCUCCGACCUCUCCAUCCUUGCGUGCGUACUGUAGUACGGGAAGAAGAAGCUAGCCUCAUGUGAUCCUAAACUUGGACCUUCUAUGGCUGCGUUUCGUGUGACCAUAGGUGUGGCUAGCCUAUAGCGAAUAAUAAUUAGCCACGUCACUUAAAAUUCGUGAAGUACUAAAUAUUUAAUAUAUGUUGCGUUAUAAAUCUGGUUCCCUUCGUUCAACUUACAUUAGCUUCGUAAUAAUUUCACCACUGAGUCAAUAAAGUUAUUUUAUCGUGACGUGUGUUUUAUCUAAUUAAUUAAUUGUUUGUUUGUUUAUCCAAUGCCUAUUAAAGUAGUGAUCCAAUUAAAACUAAUAUAUAGUUUUAAAUUUGCACAAGUAUAAUUGGACGUUAGCAUGAUUUAUGCCAAAUUAAAUGUCUAUAUUAAUUGGUUUAAUAUAUGUUCAUUCUAAACACGACAUUUGUUAAUGACUUCUUGCUUGUCGCAUUGUUCGCGCAUGUCGUGCGUCGAUGUUUGCUCAUCACACGUGUUGUUUGCGCGUCAUCGCGUUGAUUCGCGUGUGUCGCGCGAUGUCGUGCGCGUUGUUUCGCGAACCGCGGUGCUGUUUCACGUGCGUCAUCGCGUGUCGUUCGCGUUGUCGCGCGCCUUUUGCACGCGUUGUCGCGCGUGUUGGCGUGUCAUUCGCGUGCUGUUGCGCGUCAUCAUCAUUUCUUCGCGUGUUCGUGCCACGCGUCUGGUUCGCGUGUCGCGCGUAUCUCGCGUGUCGAUCACGUGUAUCGUGCGGCAUCUGCGCGUGAUAAUAAAUUGUUUUCAUUUAUAAACACUCAUGUUAAUAAUGUUAUUUCAUCAGGUCACAUAUUUUAAAUAAUUAACUUAAGGUUUGCUCGACUAAUAUUUAUUAGAUUAACAUUCCAAUUAGAUUAAAUGUGUAGUAUUCAACUUCCGCUUUUAUAAGAAACAUUAACAUGGCUAAUAUUAACUUAACUACUUUUUAUUUAUUUAGUAUUUGUUUAGUAUAAACGCGUCACGUAUUUAGUUUUUCUCGUCUGUCGUACGUGAUGUUUCGCACGUGGUGCCAUGCUGGUUCGCGCUGGCCGCGUGCACUAUUUCGUGUAUCAUCAGUGUGCUAUGUCGCGCGUGUCCGUGCUUCGGUUGCACGCUAUCAUGCUGUUUCGCGUGUCGCUCGUUGCUUGCACGUGUCGUGCGCUGUCCGCACGCGAUAUUAAACCAUUCGAAUAUAAUCACUGAUGUCCAUUAAUUAACUAUUUAUUUAAUCGUCCACUAUUAAAAUAGUAAGUUAGUCAAAGCUAAGUAGUAGUUUUAAUUUAUAUUUGAUAUGAUAAUGUCAAUUCAUGUAAUUAUAAUUAUGCUGAACUAAUAUUCUAUUUAAUAUUUGUUUAGCGUAAACCUGUUAACUUCUCGACCAUAGCUCCGACUAUCGCGUUUCUUUUUCCUCGCGUGACCGUAGUAGUGCGCUCUUUUUCGUUUUACAUGUUUUAUUAUAUUUUUCUUUGAAUGGUGUAAUGUUCAUAUAUAUAUAUAUUUGUUUUCUUGUGACUGUUCGUCUUCGCUUCGCGUUGCGAUUAGAUCGCGAUUCGUUUCCGAGCUUCGAGGAAUCGACGGUCAAGCGUUGGCGACCAAGUGAUCUGGUUCUUCGAGUUCUACGAGACUGAAUAUCCUGAGCAUCUGUUUGGUGAAGGAAAGUGUCCUCUGACCUAUUAUGUCCUACAUACUUAUAAUUCACCGUCCUGCAUUACAUUACUGAAACCUAAGGAUGGACUAGUCUGUAUUUACUUAUCCUUGCUUACCUUUUGGGUAAUCUUGGUUAGCUUUAUGCUAUUAUUUUAUUUUAAUCAAUGAACAUGAUGUGAAUAUUUAUGAUACGAUGAUGUUAUCCCGAUUAUGUUCUUGUGAUACUUUAGGGUACUCGGGCCAUUUUCCUGAGUACCUCUCAGUAAGGACCUGUUUGUGGAGCGACACCCGGGAUAACAGUGCAACCAUGAGAGUGGAAUAGGACACCCUUAGCUGAUUAAUUAGAGCAACCAGAGGAGUAGUUGGCUUCGCCAUAGGGCCGUCAAUGGGGUCCGGGCGCGUACAAUACUUGCUCUGCCGAGGCUGGUUGCAGAGGUUCUUGAUUUGGUUUUGUUAGCCACCCUUCUUUUGGGGAGAGGUACUGUGUUUAUCAAACUGGAGAAACCUAACGGGUGGCUAUGUCCUCUGGGAAAUCUUUGUAAAGGCUACGUAGUGAGACCCUGCUAAGUCACCUUGGUAGUGAUCAAUGGAGAGUCAUGAUCUCCGGGCAGAACGGGAAUCACGACUUGUGGGUAAAGUGUGUGACCUCUGCAGAGGAUUAGAAAUUGAUAUAUCAGUCGUGCUCACGUUUAUGAGCGGCCUUGGGAUCCUCUUUGAUUAGAGAUACAGAUUACCUGAGAUACAACGAUUCUAUUGAUGGUUUUGGUUACGAUGAUGAUAUGAUGUUCCUCGAUGAGGAAAUGAUUCACGUGUUGGUUAUUGCUAAAAUUUGGCUUCCACUAAUAAUAAAUACCUGACCAAUUAAAAGCAACUACUUGAGCUUAACCCACAUAAAGCUAGUCCACCUCAGCCAAACGGGACAUUUGCUGAGUACGUUGAUGUGUACUCACCCUUGCUUUGACAAAACACCAAGUUGCCUUUGGUGCAAUCUAUGCUUAGGUAAAGAAGAAGGCGUCGAGGCAGAUCUCCAGGAGUUCCAGGACAUCGAUGAGUUCGAGGAUUAGGCUAGCGACCUCCCCAGUCAGCUGCCUCUAGCGGGUUAAUUUAUGUUGGCUAUGUUUCGAUUCUAUGUACUUUGAUUUAUAUUAUUACUUAUUAUUUAUUGUUAUUCGAAGCAUUGUGCUAUGAUGAUUCAUUUAUGUAAUCGUUGUGUACGUGAGUUUCUGAUCCUAGCACGUACAUGGUUCGCAUUUGGUUUACCUUCCAAAACCGGCUGUGCAGGGACGCCCUUGGUUGACUAAUUAGGAAAUCUAGUGGAGGACUACCUUACUCGAAAGGGGCAAGGGCAGUAGGGGAGUGGUCGGUAUAGGGACGUUCUUGGGCUGAUUUUGUUGCGAUGGCUUUUCGGACGGGGGAUUCCUAUGUUGCGCUUCCUAGAAACUGUAGCAGGUUUUCUGAAGCUAGUGGAACUUUGUAAAGGCCUCGUAGUGGUACCCUUCCUCGCUUCCUUGGUAGAGGUGUAUGGGGUCUGAUCAACUCCAUGGCAAAUGGGUAACACGACUUGUGGGUAAAGAUGUGCAACCUCUAUAGAGUGUAAAACUGGUAUAUCAGCCAUGCUCAUGGUCACGAGUGGCUCGGACCCUCACAUGAUUAACUUAUGGAAUUAAACUCAAUUUGUCAUAUGCAUUGCAUCGCGGGUGUUGUUAUUAAUAUUGAUCUCUUAUUUAAUUGGGUUGGUAUCUACUUAUACCUAGUAACUGUUAAUAAAUUUUUGACCAACGUUAAAAGCAAUGCUCAGCUUAAACCAUCCUCUUUGGUAAGCCUUACACUUCAUAUGAGCUCCCACCUUUGGUGAGUUCAGGCACAUUAUUUCCCACAACUUGUUGAACGAUGAACAUUGUGAGCUCACCAUUGUUGUACUCACAUCCCCCCAGGUCAAGAAAAGGUACCCCAGGAUGAGGAGCAUGGAGGAUGGCUCGAUGUGUUCGUGAGAGGUCUAGGUCUUCGUCUCCCUGUCAACUUUGGGUUGUUGGAUCAUUGUCUUCAUAUGAUGUAAUUAUUUAAUUAUUUUGUACAGAACUUUGUUAUAUAAAUGAUGUGACAUUCAUUUCUGUACCAUGAGUCAUCAUAUGUGUGAGACUUGAUCAUAGCACACUUGGUGAUUAUUCCACGCCCGGGUCUUGGUGCCCCCGAAACCCGGGUGUAACAAGGACCUAGGAGUAGGAUUCGUAUUUCACUAGAACCCGAGGGGCUGACAUGCAAAACAAUUUACAUUUUUCUCUUUUUCUUUUUCGGUUUAAAACAUACAGAACCUUGGGAAAUCCAUAACUAGAGUUUUUGAACUCAAAAAAUAGUGAAAUAAAUUUUAAAGAACUCCUUUGUGCUAGAUCUAUGGUUUAAAAAUAUUGCAUGUCAAGGUUUGAAUGUUUUUAUAGUUUGAAUUUAAAUAGGAAAACCGAGUUUCCUUAUAAGUAAUAAAAUAAAUUACUCCUUGGUCAGAAAAAUAUGAUUCCAAAUUUUAUUAGGUUCCUCUAAAGGUUUUCUAUCUGUGAUAAUUGAUUUAGAGGUAUGUUCUGUUAAUGAAUUCGUUUUUGUGAAUUAAAAGGUUAAGUUGUUGAUUCCUUAGAAAAUAGAAAAUAAAUAGCAAAGCAUCAAGUAUUAUUGUGAAACUUUUUGUGAGCAUGGCAUGUGUCAUUGACCACCUCUAGAAUUAACAUGGACCAUCAGUUAUGCAGAGAAAUUUUGACGUAUAAAUUAAAAAUGGAAAAUGUGAUUUUUUAGAAAACCAUAGAAAAAGACUUAUAAAGAAAAGGUUUGUGUGAAUUUUUGUGACAUGUUGUUAGGCCAAGUAAAGUAUAUGAAAAAUCUGGUAAUGACUGUUUGACUAGUUUAGCGAUGCAAUGUAGUUUAAAUUACUUUCUACACCAUUUCUUGUUAUUUUUGUGCAGUCAAAAUAAUGGUCCAAAGCAAUUGAAAUUUCUGUGGUAGAGUACGGCAGAUGAAUACUAACUGCUAUAAUUUUUGUAGUAAAUUUGGAAGUGGUCGAGUAGUAUCCACAAUAUAAGUCCAAUUAAAUGGAAUAUAAAGGUUUGAAUAGUUGCAAGGAAUUCUAGGUUCAAUUAUGAUUUCACCUAGAAUGAUUGAGUAAAUAAUUACGGUUAUGAUAGCUAGGGUGUGAGCAAAGUCCUUCUCACUAGGAGAUAACUAACUUGUAAAAAGAAAAGGGGCUAAAUGAAGAAUAUUUCUUAGUGUGUCUACACAUGUAUGUGUAAGGUAAUUAGAAAUACAUUGUAGUGUAAUUUGGGUGAAGUUAUGUGGAUUCUUUAAAUACUAGUCAGAACCAACCAAGAAAAGACAAACUACAUGUUCUUAGACGAUGUAAACUAUCUUGUAGAAACCUCUACAUAGUAAAUCUACUCAGAAUAUGCACACUACAGGCACCCAUAAGCAUCAUACAUCUGUUGCAUGAAGCAUCAUGUAUCCUCAUACUGCAUCCAUACAUCGUAUAGGAUCACAAGAGGAAGUACCAGUGGGAAUUGUCGAGGAGCUGCUAAGAAUUCUUGUGGAAGAGGGUGAAUCAGAAGCUGAAGCUCAGGAGUGUCCUAAUCACCGCCCAGUUCAUUCGAGAAAGGCGAGCCCCGACAUCUAACUUCCUUUAUUUGUGAUACUUUAAUUUAUUCACUGCCUACCUAUAAUGUUGCAUUAGGCAUAGGAGGUGAUACUAAAAAUAUGAGACCAAUUUUUUUGGACUACUAAAUUUCUAUAGUAUUUAAUAAGAAUAGUUCUAGGAUUUUUAGUCCAAACCAGGAAUUAUUCAGUAUUUAAAAGGGCUCAAACCUAUACUCCUUAGUAACUCCAAAAAGCACCAAAAUUUUUGGAUAAGCUUAAAAUGAUAUUUAGAAACCUUGGGUGAAGUUUGGCUUGCUUUGGACAUUGUUUGAAUCCUAAACCUAAAACCCUAGUCUUCUAGGUAAUGUCUGCCCUCUCAAAUGAAGAACUAACUCCAAAGACCCUAGUUUCCUGGAGUACCAUGAAGGAAUGUUGUAUUCAAGAUACAACUUGAUAAACCUUUUCUAUUAUUGCAUUUUCAUAAGCAUUACAUGAGCAUUCAUGGUUAUAUAUGGUUAUAUCUAGAGAACGAGGAAGAAGUAGAGGUUGAAGAAGGAAGAGCUACACCACCACCUGAAGACCCACCUGCCAGGAACUGCUUAUAUUUUGAUAUUUGUGGAGUAGAGCCCAACUCUCCUAUAACACAAGGCAAGCCCUGGUGCAUUUGCCACCUCCUUGCUAUUUUAAAAUCUUUCUCACUUGCUUGAUGCAUUAGGUGAUAGGAGUUGUGUGCUAAACAAUUGAUGCAUUUACUUCCUUGGAAGAUUGAUUAAUUUUCCUUGAUCACCUAUUUUAUGAAAAGGUUUUUCUGAUGCUUAGUCUUGCUCUAGAAAAACAAAAUGUUUUGUUUUGACAAAAGAUGAUGCUUCAAGUGGGAUGGGAUGUUUUCAAAAAUAAAACUUGAUGGUGGAUCCAUCAUGGCCAUGAUGGGUUCAACAUCGGAAAAGAUGUACCUCUGCCAGGUACCAAACUUUGGGUUUUUAAAUGAUAAAGCUAAGACCGGGUGGGUGACUUGCACGAGAAGAGAGUCUUGGUGUAGUGUCUCCGUCUGCGUCGAUUAAGGACCGUGUCGAUGUAGGCUUGAUGAUUGAGGACCUUUUAACUGGUCACAUGCCUCAUCAUAGGUAAGCUUUGCCUCGGGUAGACUAAUACCAGAAUAGGACAACACGAAAUGGGAAUGGAGAGAUGGCGAGAGUAGUGUGUACCCUCUGUGCCAAGAGGCUGGACGGUGGUGUAUCUGUGCUCUCGGUUGGCGUGAACCCGAUCUAGUCUUAAGAACCCCGGUGGCGAGUUGACAUAUGCAAGGGUUAAGUGCUACAUAUGUCGUGUGAUUGGAGAUCCCCAGCUGGGUAUUAUUCGAUUUGGAUCGUCGUUACUUCUCAGACAUGAAGACUUGGUCACUGCCGAGCAUUCGAGUGAACAAGAAGGGUUGAUAAAAAGAUGGCUAGUAUAGGCCAAGUGCUUGAACUAGGGUAGAAAGAACUCUAGAUUCAAGUAAUGACUUAACUUGCUAAUAUUACUAGAUUUUUAAGGAUCCACUAUUAGUAAGCAUUUUUGCAAACAGAGUCUUGAUUCUUGAUUAAGCCUUACCUGGACUCCCUCAAAGCCAGCAUAUCCUUGAGAGUCUUUUAUUUUGACGGGUAAGACUUGCAAAAGUACACUUCGUACUCAGGGUUUUCGAACCCAUGUUGUUGUAGGUGAGGAAGUAGCAAACUUUUGUUGCUUUUGCUCUAAGGUGGUGCCAAAGGAAGAAUCUCAAGAGUGAAGCCUCGGGAGGAUGUUGUCCUCCUUUUAAAAACAUUAUACUUUUAAGUGGGAGGGGUUUUUGCCUCCCGAGUUUGUAAUAAUAAUACUUCCGCACUCGUAUACUCUGGUCUGUAAUAAUAACACUCUUUCUAUAUCUUAAUGUAAAUUAAGUUACUACAAUUGCUUCCGCUUAUUCGUUCCUCCAAUGUGUUGUAAUAUCUGCGUGACGGGUGAAACGCUCUUGGGAAAGGUGAAAGAUACAGAUACCAAACUUGUCGAGUGAUUAGGUGCAUCUACAGGGUUGUCCAAGGUCUGCUGGACAAGGACAACUGUAGGUGGGCCUAAUGACUUGGGAGGUUCUGUCACAUUCCAUGGCCAGGGGCCAAACGGUCCGCGACCUGGCGCAGAGCUAGGGUUUUCCUGCCUGUCGGCCAGACGGUCCGCGCCCUGGGGCUGGACGGUCCAUGCGUACUCAGGGGGCAGCGAAAGGUCACCGACGGCGCCUGGAUCUCGCUCCCAAGAGGGACCCCGUCGGGGAGAAGAGAUCCUAGGUGAUGUCUAGGCUCGGGCAGACUGACCUAGACUCCUCUAAUCGACAUAGAGUCGAAGAGAAGCGUUGAAUUUGAGGAUUGAGAGGCUAAACUAGAACUAGACUAGAACUACUCCUAAUUGUACAGGAAAUAAAUGCGAGAUAAAAGUGUUAUUGAUUUGAUUGAUGAUUACAAAUCGGUCGUAUACCUCUGUAUUUAUAGAGGAGGGGGCUGGACCCGUUACUAACAAACUCCCCAAGCUAUUUUCGUGAAUCUCGUCAACAAACACAGCAAGAAACUCGGAACCCUAAUUGAUUCUGCGCGCGCGUGGACUGUCUGGACCGUGGACCGUCCGGCCCUAGGGCCGGACCGUCCGACCGCCUAUUUUGUGGCUCAACAUAUGCCCCAUGCCUUUUGGCGGAGCUGAGCGAACCAAAAGCAACUAACACGAUGUGAUCACUUCAGUUUCCUUAGGCAUCUUGCCACAUACUAGGAUGAUACUGCUUGAGGAAACGCCCGUUUAACGCCUUGGGCAAGUCUUUGCCUUGUAAUGUUUGCAAUAAGUAGGCGUUACUGGACAUCACCUGCGUGACUCUAUAAGGGCCUUCCCAGCUUGGCGACCACUUCCCAAACUUCCGGUCUUUGCUCCUCAGAGGCAGGACAAACUUCCAUACCAAGUCCCCUACCCAGAAUGAUUUAGCCUUGACCUUCUUAUUGUAAGCUUUGGCGACCAUGAUCUUGUCCUUUUUCUAUUUCUCCUAAGGCUGCCACCCUUUUGUCGGUCACUUCAUCAAUAUUGUCCAUCAUUGAAUUAUAAUAAUCACCGACAGUUAGAUCAUUUUGCUUGGCGAACCUAACAACAUUUAAACUUAUAUCUAUAGGUAACACUGCUUCCUACCCAUAGACAAGCUCAAACGGAGAUACUUUAGUAGCAUGGUGUUUAGAUAUUCUAUGAGCCCAUAAAGCUUCGGACAAAAUCUUAUGCCAAUGCUUAGGACGAUCAGAUAUCUUCUUUGUUAUCAAGCUAAUCAAUGUCCUAUUACUAGACUCGGCAUGUCCAUUGGCCUAAGCAUAAUAUGGAGAUGAAUUGAGUAACUUAAUUCUAUAUAAUUCAGCAAACUAACGUACCUCCUUUGACAUAAAAGAAGCCCCUUGGUCUGUAGUCAAAGUCUAGGAAUGCCGAAUCUAUGGAUAAUAUGCUCAGUUAUGAACUUAAUUACCUCCCUAUGUGUCAUGUUCUUUAGAGCAACGGCUUCAGUCUAUUUAGUUAAGUAGUCAGUGGAAACUAACACGAACCGAUGCCCUUUUGAUGAUGAAGGAUGAAUCUCUCCUAUAAAGUCUAAUCCCCAUCCUCUGAAAGGCCAAGGCUUGAUGAUAGGAUGUAAUUUGGCUGCAGGGACCAACUGUAAGUCGCUAAAUUUUUGACAUACUUGGCAUCUGUUGGGGGCCUUCGUCUUCCAAAGGUCCUCAAAAACAUGACUAACAAUGUUUCCCAAGCAUAAUAUAUGUACAGGAACCUUCGGACUCGGGAUGAAGUUGUACACAAUAUGGAGAGUAGGGUCAGAACGAAGGUUGAACCAGCGCCGAAGCUACGCGCAAGGGAGCUUCGGCUCAGUAGCAGAAAACGGAACCGACUUAAGGAGGAAAAGGCUAUCUAGUCCCCAAUAGAUUGUUCUUAAGUCAAUAGUGAACAUGAAGGGCAUGAAUGUAAUUUCACAUAGGCUGCGCCCUGUGCCUAUAAAUAGAUGAACAGUACCUCAUACUGUUCACGCUGACUUGUAUUCGCUCGUGCGUCAUGCUUGUACUUUUGCCUUCUGUCAAGCCAAAAGGUACAAAUGUAAUUCAGUAUUGUUCUUGUUCAUCCAUGAUUAUAUAAUAAGGACAUAUAAAGGAUGUCAUAUGAUUAUUCAUGUUAUUUCUCAUGUUUCAUAUGCUUUUCCUUUUAUCGAUGUAAACUAUGAUGAUGAAGGUAUGUCCUUCAUGACCUUCGUCCAAAGAUCGUUAUAUCCUAAGGGAAAUAAUGCUUCGAAGGACGAAGGGCAUUAACCAUUAACUUCUUUCUAUGUUGCCUUGUUCUUAAUUCAUAGCAUUUGAGAACAAGUCCCCAACAUUGGCGCCCACCUCCGGUGUACUCACUUCCACAACCUUCGGCAAAGCAUCAACCUUCGUCAUGCUGCCGAAGAAGAUAACAGCGCCAGGGGCUGCACUACAGCCACUGGACACAAACCAAGACACUCUCUCUCUCCGAGAGGCUAGAAGACAAAAGAGGAAAGCCACCAGUCCAACACUUCAGGAGGAGGAGUUGGACCAGCAGAUCAGGGACCUCGAAAUCAUUAACCAGCAGGUGCAAAGGAAAAAAGAGAAGAUGGCUCGGCUGGCCAACCUUCAGAAGAAGAUUGACAAAGCUACUGAGGAAGUGCGUCAUCUUACUCAAGAUGAUCACGACCAAAGGCCUCAAUACCAGGAGCUUCAUCAAGAGGGCUCGUUCAACGAAGACAAAUGGUACGAUGACUUCAAUCAUGGUAGCUUUACUUUUGAUGAUGCUUCUCUCCUAGCAGCAGAAUUGCAGGCUAUCCCAUGGCCACAUUCUUACAAGCCACCUCAGCUACCCAUGUAUGAUGGGCACUCGGACCCAAAGCAAUUCUUGAUGAGCUAUGAGGCAACAAUAUCCUCAUACGGAGGCAACGCAGCUGUCAUGGCAAAGUCCUUCGUCAUGGCAGUCCGAAACGUGGCCCAGACAUGGUAUUCUUCUCUUCGGCCAGGGACAAUCACGUCAUGGCAGAAGCUCAAGGACAUGCUAUUUACCAGCUUUCAGACGAAGCCAGCCACAGCUCAGGCCUUGUUCCAGUGCACACAAGACCAUGAGGAAUACCUUCAGGCGUAUGUCCGAAGGUUCUUGCGACUGAGAGCACAAGCGCCCACAGUGCCCGAUGAAAUUGUCAUUGAGGCCAUGAUCAAGGGUCUUCAACCAGGACCUACGGCUCAAUACUUUGCCAGGAAGCCCCCCUAGACUCUAGAGAAGCUGCUUCAGAAAAUGGAUGAGUACAUCCGGGCUGACAACGACUUCCGCCAAAGAAGGGAGGAAGCUUACAGAUUCUCUGAGAUGACUAGGGGCUUUGGAGGAAGAAUCCACCCUAGGCAUAUCAGAUCAAUCCACAGCUCCAGUCAGAAUGAUGACAAAGGAAGCCAGCUUCAGAGGCCAUAUCAUACCUCACAGUCUUCGGGACAGCAGCAAAGCUCCUUCAGGCCACCAGCUCCAAGGGGCAGAGGCGACAGGUGCUUCGGAGGAAGAUAUGGGGAUCAGCCUAGGAAAAUUUAUUGCUUAUUCUGUGGUGAGUACAAGGGCCAUACUACAAGAACGUGCCAAAUCACUAUUCUGAAGCAAAAGGAGAUCGCCGAAGCCGAAGCUCGGCAGAAUCAGCCGAAGCAGGUCUUACAUACUGCUUCAUGCCACUCUCCUUGCAUACCAGAAUACAUGGGCAAUCAACCUGAAGUUUCUGUUGCUUCGGCAAGCCAUUCACAGGCUUCUUGGCCUCAACUUCCACCGCCACUACCACUGCAACCUACUUAUUCCCGAAGCCAGCAGCUAGAAGGGCGCCAACACUCCCAGCAACAACGUGACUUCAGGGAGGAGUCUGAAGCUCGUACAGUCAAUAGUACUGUACCAGAAUCAAAGCACAUAUACUGAGCGAUAUCCUACUUCUGAAAUGCUUUUUUGUUCUAUGCCAUUUUGCUUUUUAAUAAGGAACAAGUGAUGUAAAUUUAGUUUUAAAUUCUUGUAAUGAUUUUGCUUCUAUCAGAAUGAAAUAUAUCUUCCUCACAGAACUACGAAGCUCAAAAUCUUCCUCACAGAAUUACGAAGCUCAAAAUCUUGUUCACAGAUUUACGAAGCUCAAAUGUUGUUCCAAAGGCAAUGCAGAGCCAAAAUUGCUGAAGCUACAAAAAGUCGUUCCUAAGGGAGCACAGCGUAAGUUUUGUGCUCAAAAGUCGUUCCUAAGGGAAUGCAGAGCCAAAAUUGCCGAAGCUACAAAAAGUUAUUCCUAAGGGAGCGCAGCGUAAGUUUUCUGCUUAAAAGUCGUUCCAAAGGGAAUGCAGAGCCAAAUACCGCUGAAAUAUAAGGCGAAAAAGUUCAAAAGUCGUUCCUAAGGGGAUGCAGAACUUAUACCACCGAAGUAGAUGGCGAAGAAGUUCAAAAGACAUUCCUAAGGGGAUGUAGAACUUAUAUCACCGAAAUAGAAGGUGAAGAAGCUCAAAAUUCGUUCCUAAGGGGAUGCAGAGCUUGUGUGUUCCAGUGUGGGCGUGUGGGUGUGUGUCUUUGGCAUCCUCAUCAUUUUGCAUCAUAUCAUCAUAUUGCAUCAAUGAUACGAGAAUUGAAUACGAAGCUCAUCUUCGGCAAAUGCUUCAUCAAAAUUAAAAGGUGCUAAGGCACGAAAUAAGUUUUGGGAGAUACAGUUUUAUCAGCCUUGUUACAAGAAAGAUCUCUUUUUACAAAGCAUGGAUAUCUCUCUUUACGAAGCAUGGAUCUUUUUCUUUACGAAGCAUGAAAAGGAGGGAAGGUGUUUUUUCGCCGAAGGCUCAAAAAUGGUAUGUGCGUAAAUUUCAUGCAUCGCAAAGAAAUAAACUACAAUAUUUUACAUAUUCAAUACAACACUCUAAAUAUUACAUAGUUUUGUUACAAUAGAAACUUAAUCUUCCUUCAUUUAUUGUAUACAUCAAGAUUUUCAAAAUGUUUAAUACAAUAAAAUGUAGUCCUCUUUAAGAAUUUUCUCUGCAACUUUGUUCAGCAAUUUGUUGACGACUUCGUCGACGAUGGAUUUAGCCAUGUUUAUGAUGUCCAGCGCUUCCUUCAUUUUUGGAUCAGCUAGGGGAUCGAACGGUUUCGGCGGCGGAGAUAAUUCAACCGAAGUAGGAAAAAUUAAUUAGCCCGAAGCCACAAAAACAAAAUGUCGAAGCUAAAAACCAAAAAUAAUACCUAUACGCUUUUCGCGCUCUGCAGCUUCUUCAGCUCGCCUUGCUUCUACUCGGGCGUCAUGGGUGUCUUUUUCACUUUUCUUUAUAAUUUCAUGGGCCAUAUCUCGGCCACAAUUCACCCAGACAUCAUUGUAAAAUUUCCCGCACAUCAAGGUUGCUUCAGCUGAAGGAUCCUUCGUAUCAUCUACGGAGAAGGUAGCUUCGGCCUGGGCCAUGGUCUUAAUGUGAUCACAUCCUGCCUUCUCCAAGAUGGCUGAAAUUCCCUGCGCACCGAAAAACGCGCAAACAUCCCCGCGAUCACUCAAAAUUUCUUCGAAGGUCUCGGCUUCUCCACUUAUCCAUUCAACAACGCCUUCGGGGUCGCCUCGUAUGAAAUUCUCUUUAGUAGAAUAGGCACCCACUUUGGCGAAGCUAGCUUUUAUUUUAUUUACGCAAUCCAAGGAUUUUUCAAAGCACCUUUCCUUGAAUGUGCGAAGCUCUUCAACAUUUUUCUCUAGAUGAUUUUUCCAAUAUUCGCUAAUUUCUUGGUUAGCUUGUGCGAGUGCGCAUUUUUCCUUAGCUUCGGCCAGUUGUCUCCGAAGGUCUUCAAUUUCAGUCUUUUGGGCUUCGACCUGAGCUUUGAAACCAGCUUUGUCUUCCUUCACUUUGUUUACUAGAGAAAUUAAGAUUUUGUCUUUUUCAAGACCUUUGUUUCUCAAUUCAAUCACCUCUAAACGAAGGUUGUUCAGAGCCAUCGUAUAGCCUUCGUCUUCAAUAUUUUUCUGCGCCCUAAGGGCAUUACUAAGAAUUAAGCCCUACAAGAGGAAGAAAGAAUUGAGCAUGACAAACGAAAUACCUCAUUCUCAAAUUCAAGUUAACUUCUAUUCCUUUAUACUGUUGUAUGCUUGGCUAUUAGCAAGAUCAUCCUUUGACAAAAUUGAAAGACCGUCUUCCAGCUUCGAGAAUCCCAUGCUUCUACCUAUCUCACGACAAACAGAUAUUUCUUUGUUGUCCGGGAGACAGUAUAAGAAAUCAUCUUCAUUACUCCCGUUAAAAACCAAGGCUCCCUUUGGAUAUUUCAACUUUCGCGCAUAGUGCCUGGCUUCCAGAAUUUCUUCUUUGGACAGCUUCUUUCCCGAAGCGUGUCGAAUGAUGUAGUCAAUAUUUUCGAUUAAAGCUUCGGGAGAAGGAGUCUCGAUCUUUUCAGGAGCAAUUUGCUUUGCCGCUUUUUCUUCAGACGUGGUAGGUUUUGUCUCGAUGAGCACUGAAGGCCCAGUUUCGACUUCAGCUUGAGCUUGCGUAGCUUCGGCUUCUGCUUGCCCGGUUUCGGUUCCGGCCUAUGAUUUGGCUUUAGUUUGAGCAAUUUUCUUUAUAGGAGUAGGGCUUAACGCCUUUGUAGUCUCCAGCACAGCAUCCAGUACGUUGGCCAUCCUUCUCCUCUUGGGAGUUGCGGCAAAAGCCUUUUGCAUCUUCGGCAGAUUUGCCUUCGUCGGAGGGCUCAGAAUUUUUGGCUUCAACCUUUGGCUCUUCGGCCUUAUCAACCUUAUCUUCGACUGCCUUGACUGUAUGCGUCUUCGGCAUUACGGUCGGCUCUUCGGCGCUCUAUGUAAUCGAAGCAGUCUGUGUUGCUUCGGCUGCUGAAGUGGACCCUGCGCCAAAUUCAGGCACCACAGCCGGUUCAAUGAAACGCGACCGGUGGGUCAGAACCUUCACCUUUUUGCUCUUCGGCACAGGCUCAGCUGGGGUGACCGAAGCAGCAAUCUUCCUCUUUUUCUCUUGUCCUCGCAGCAGGUAGCGGUAAUCAGGGUAUACAAUGCAUCAAAUACCCUAUUUAAUCUUUUCUUGCCCCGGCCACCAAAUGCUGCGGACAGGGCAUUAUCUUCAGCCUUGGAGUAUGCUCCAAGCAACUCAUCACUGGUAGCUUUGAUGCAUUUCAACCAGUCGUCGUUCGGCUCAUCAAAUUUCUCCCUAAAUCUGAAGGUAUACUUCAGUCGGACCAGACCACCCUCACCAGAGUCGGAGGUGGUCUCCUUCGGCAUUUCCCAGCUUUCCACAAGCUGCCAUACCCUGAAGGCUAUAUGUUCUUGAAUCAAAUCUCUUAUGCCAAUGAAGGAGCAAACAGUGCUGAAAGCCCUCUGACAUGCUUCGACAGCGUCAUCAAUUUCCACCUUCGGCCUUCGGAGGCCGAAGCAGGACCAGAUGGGGCGCUGGAUGAUUUCUUUAAUGCCUUCCAUUGCAUUUAAAUCAUUCUUCACAUAAAACCACUCUUCCAUCCAGGCCCCGGACCAUCUCUUCCGAAAUGUUGUCAUCGGGUGGCACGCGUUGGGGCGAGCAAUAAAUCCAUAACAUCCGAAGUUGUUAUGGUACUGUUCUUUGCCAGUAGCCUUCGUCUCAUAUAAGAGCUCGUGCAUACUGCAGAAGCACUUUGCGCUUGGCUCUAACCCCUGACUCCUUAUAGCCCAGACAAAAAUCCCCAUCUUCAUAAUAGCUUUGGGGGUGAUCUGAUGAAGGAAGAUCUGGUAGAUCUUCAGCACUUCAACUACAAACUUGCUCAAAGGAAACCGAAGUCCAGCCUUAAAAAAGCUUCGGUAGAUAACAACUUCGUUUUCCUCAAGAGCAGGGACGUUGUUGUCUCCUCCAGCCCUCACGAUAUACAUGCCCCGAAAGUACCUUCCUCUCAUGUUCUCAAGAUGACUCUGUUUAAUGGUCGACUUUUCGAAAACAGCAUGGCUUGGUCGCCAGGGCUGAUCCUCCGAAUCUUCAUCCCCACUUUCCACAUCAUAGCUAUCGCCGUCACCAGUAUCUUCAGAUAAACCUUCUAGUAUUUCUUUAGUAAUCUUCUCUGUGUUUGUUUUUGCCAUGGACUCAAUAAAUCCAGCAAUAUAAGGAUCUACAACCUUCUUCUCCUCCAACAGCUUCAUCUCUUCAGUUAGCUUCACCCUCUCAGUCAUUUUUCCCCAGACAUGGUGAAAACGCGUCUUUUAACCGAAGCUCAAAAAGCUUGGAAAUCUACCGAGUGCUAUUGAGCAAGAGCUUAAAGUUUGAGAAAAUAAUGCAAAUGGCAGAAACAGCGUAUCAAAUGCUGCCGGUGUGAGUUCAUAUUUAUACACCUAGCACGCUGCAACUUGGAGGGCCCCGUCUAUCAUUGAUUGUUGCUAUUCUAGCAAAGGGAAGGUGUUUUUUCAGACCUCCGGCUUAAGGCCUUCAUUCACGUCGCAGUCUGAAUUCGUUGUUAUAACAAAUUAAUACUGCGAGGGGCUACUGUUGGGGGCCUUCGUCUUCCGAAGGUCCUCAAAAACAUGAUUAACAAUGUUUCCCAAGCAUAAUAUAUGUAUAGGAACCUUCGGACUUGGGAUGAAGUUGUACACAAUAUGGAGAGCAGGGUCAGAACGAAGGUUGAACCAGCGUCGAAGCUGCGCGCAAGGGAGCUUCGGCUCAGUAGCAGAAAAAGGAACCGACUUAAGGAGGAAAAGGCUAUCUAGUCCCCGAUAGAUUGUUCUUAAGUCAACAGUGAACAUGAAGGGCAUGAAUGUAAUUUCACAUAGGUUACGCCCUGUGUCUAUAAAUAGAUGAACAGUACCCCGUACUGUUCACACUGACUUGUAUUCGCUCGUGCGUCACGCUUGUACUUUUGCCUUCUGUCAAGCCAAAGGUACAAAUGUAAUUCAGUAUUGUUCUUGUUCAUCCAUGAUUAUAUAAUAAGGACAUAUAAAGGAUGUCCUAUGAUUAUUCAUGUUAUUUCUCAUGUUUCAUAUGUUUUUCCUUUUAUCGAUGUAAACUGUGAUGAUGAAGGUAUGUCCUUCAUGACCUUUGUCCAAAUAUCGGUAUAUCCUAAGGGAAAUAAUGCUUCGAAGGACGAAGGGCAUUAACCAUUAACUUCUUUUUGUGUUGCCUUGUUCUUAAUUCAUAGCAUUUGAGAACAAGUCCCCAAUAGCAUCCUUUGUAAUACUUGAAACAAUAGCUAUCAUGUUAGGCCAAUAGAAGCCAGACCUUCGCAACAACCACUUCAUCUUUGGAGCUGAUUGAUGGGUACCACAAAUCCCUUCAUGUACUUCGGCCAUGGCUAAUAUUGCAUCAUCUAGGCCCAAGCACUUAAGCAGGAUGUCGUUGACUGUCCGGCGGUAGAGUUCAUCACUCAUUAAAACAUACUUGAAAGUUGUACGCUGAAUGUUCUUAUCAAUCCUAAUAUUGGGAUUCCGUAAAUAAUUAAUUAUGGGUGUCUUCCAAUCACUUGCAUCGCUUCAUUAUCAACUGAAUCAAUUAGGAGAACUUUCCUAGCAACCCCGGAUAGUCCGGAGUCUUUACUCAGACGGUCUGAGACCUGGGGGAUUGACCCUGUAUCAGUUAUCAGAUUUUCAGUGUUGUCAAAUCUCCCUCGCUUUAUCUGAUAACCUAAUGCAUCUUGUGCCAAAUUGUUAGCCCUGUGAUUCUCAACUCUAGAGAAGUGCCGAAUACUAAAUUCGUCAAAAGAAUGAAUUAUGCCCCAACACUUUUCAAGGUAACUAUUUAGAGUACCAUCAAAACAUUGAUAUUCUUCUAAUACCUGUUGGACAACCAGCUGAGAAUCACCAAAUGCCUUCACAUGUUUUACUCCCAUACAAUUUAAAAGCUCCAAGCCGAACAAAAGGGCCUCAUAUUCGGCUUGAUUGUUAGUGCAAUAAGUUUUCAAUCGGCUAGAGAAGUCGAAGGAGACAUUACUUGGUGAAACAAGCACGAUGUCAAUUCCUUGCCCUUCAUUGCAAACCGAUCCAUCAAAAUAUAAAGCCCAGGGAGUAACAGUGAGGUAUGAUAUGUCUAGUCUAUGAGUAUCAUUAAUCCGAUGUUCCACAAUAAAAUCCGCUACGACCUGGCCUCUCAUAGAUUUCAAUGGUUCAUAGGCCAAGUCAUAUUCUAUGAGUGCAUAAGCCCACUUACCAAUUCUACCACUCAUAAUUGGGUUAUGCAACAUGUAUUUGAUCACAUCGGCUUGACCAGAAACAGUGCAACGACUAGACAGUAAAUAACAUCUACACUUGGUGCAUGCAUAAAACAAGCAUAAGCAUAAUUUCUCAAUGAAAGUGUACCUUGUUUCAGCAUCCACCAACCUCCAACUUAGAUAGGUCACCACAUGCUCCUUUCCUCCGAUCUCUUGUGUCAAAACAGCCCCAAUAACCUUGUCUUCAGCUGCAAUGUAUAAUCUGAAUGGUACUCCUACUUGUGGUGCUUUUAAUACAGGAGCCGAAGACAUAUUUUCUAAUGAGAUUAAAUGUUUCUUGCUAUUUUGCCCGCCAAGUGAAUUCGGCAUCAUUCUUAAGCCGAAGGAUAGGGGUGAAGGCAUCAAUCUUCCUAGCCAGGUUAGAAAUAAACCUCCGCAAAUCAUUUACCUUGCCGAGAAACUUCUGCAUUUUGACCUUACAGGUCGGAGAGCCCACAUUUCGAAUAGAUUUGAUUCGGUCAGGGUCUAUCUCUAUACUAUGUUCAUGUAUGAUGAAUCCUAAAAACUUACCAGCCGACACUCCAAAAGCACAUUUACGUGGGUUCAUUUUCAAACCAUACUGACACAUUUUAUCAAAGGCUUUGCGCAAAUCGGCUACAUGAGAACUAAACUCAACCGAUUUGACUACAAUAUCAUCAAUGUAGACUUCCACAGUGUUUCCCAACAGCUUAUGAAAGAUCAAAUUCAUAUCCCUCUGAUAAGUAGCACCAGCAUUUUUCAGACAAAUGUCAUGACAACCCAUUCAAAUAAACCAAUAAAGCCUGGACAUAUACAGGCCAUUUUAGACGCAUCUUCUUCGGCCAUGAAAGUCUGAUUAUAUCCGACAUUACCAUCAAGAAAGCUAAUAAUUCUAUUCCCUGAUGCAUUAUUUAUUAAUGUGUCGGCUAUGGGCAUGGGAUAUUCAUCUUUAGGAGUUGCUCUAUUUAAAUUGCGAAAAUCAAUGCAUACUCUAUGUUUACCUGACUCCUUCUCCACCGGCACAAUAUUGGAGACCCACUCUGCGUAUCUGCAAGGUCUAAUAAAAUUAGCUUCUACCAGCUGGUGGAUUUUGUCCUUGAUUCGUGGGAGAAGGUCUAGACGAAAUGUUCUAGUUUUCUGCUUGAAAGGUCUAAAACUGGACUUAAUGGGCAGCCGAUGCUCUACGAUCUCACGACUUAAUCCCGACAUCUCAGUGUAAUUCCAAGCAAAGCAAUCCGAAUAUUCUUUCAAUAGACCGAUCAUUUCAUUUCUAGGAUCGGUCCCCAGGGUCUUGUUCACAAAAGGUGGCCUUGGAGUUUUACCAUCUCCUAUGUUGAUCUCCUCCAAAGGAUCGGCCGAUGUAAACCCUUGUCCUAAUUUAUCGAGAUCUCUGAAUUCCUCUAUCAUGUCCCCCACAGAGGAACCAGAUGAUCUUUGUGUGAUGGCGGACUCUCCGAUCUCGGGGGCCAGAUCAUCCAUGAUAAUGUCCUUACACUGUGGUAGAUGUUCAGUCUUAAAGACCGAACUGUUUUGUGAAAGACCGGACCAUCUGGCCUCACAAGCCAAACUAUCCGUGACUAGGGACUCAUGUAUUCUAUAUGUACUCAUCAUUUAAACUUUAUUUAGGAUUUAGCCGAUUCUCCAUCAGCUCUAGCAUUACAGGAAUGAAACCCUUCUUAUCUAUACUUAUGAACUGAUAAUCAAAGAAAUCUACUCAUGUGAGACACGUAGCAGCCUCAUAAGUCCAAAGUACAGGGGCAUCGGCCACAACGAUACAGGCCGAUACAUCAGCAUGUUGUUCUACAUCGUCGCCUACCCAUUGUAGUAACAUUUGACGUAAUGUAGAAGGUACACAUUGGUUAGCAUGAAUCCAAUCCCUGCCUAGGAUUAGACUGUAAUUUCCUUCUACAUCAGCGACGAAGAAUGCAGCAGCAAGGGUCUUAGUCCCGAUGGUUAAUUCAACGGACGUGACUCCCCUGGCUUUGAUCGAACUAUCAGUUCCAACACCGCUGAGGGUCAUGUUGGUCUUGACAAGUUUGUCAUCUUGUUUACCUAAUUUUCUGUACAAUGAAUAAGGCAUUAGAUUUAUAGCCGCCCCUCCAUCUACCAACAUUUUAGCAAUCGAUAUCCCAUCAAUGUGACCGCGCACGAAGAGCGGCUUCAAAUGAUUUACCGAUUCCUUUGGUUUAGUGAAGGCGACUUCUUUAGGACCAAAAUCAAACUGGGCAACAACAGGUUCAUCGUCGCCGACAAUAGUACAAUCGGCGGAAAAUGUAAUAACAUUUACAUCCAUACCUGAGCACUCUGGAGAAGCUUCAUAGUCGAUCAGGUCUUCUCCCAGUAGGUCGUCCUCCUCCAUUGGUGUCGGCACGUCGUCGGAGGCGUCCUGGUGUGCUGCGGACGGUCCGGACUCAGGGGUCGGACAAUCCACGCCUUGUGCAGAUGGUCCAGUCUUUUUAGCCGGGCUAUCUGCCAUACUCGCAGGGUGCUACACAAGUGUUGUUUUAUUUUCUAUUUUUGUGGUCGUUUGCUUUUCCUCAACGGCCUUUGGUCUCCAUUUCUUUUGCGGUGGUAGGUACUAUGGAUGUGUGCCAUUGAAUAUCUUUUCCGCCUCCUUCUCCUGGCUCUCCUUCGCUCUUAGGCACUGUAAUUUUCGCUUUUGGGAUCAUGUCAAUCCCGACGGGCACCAUCGAGGCAUGGAGUAUUUUGGAUCGGCUGUUUUGAUGGCAGUCAUAUCCUCUUUUUUGGUUGUGUUGGCCGAUUCACCAAAAAUCAUCGGUCCUUCAUUAUUUUCCUGUAUGAUGACAUCUGCAGUACCUAUUUUGAUGAUGUCCUUCUUUGUUGUUCUUUCGGUCGCUGCAGGUAUAUGCCCCCCUGCCGGAUUGAUCGGCCUUUGAGGCCAAGUAGUCCAGCAAUCUUGUUGGGCCUGUGCCUGGUGACCGGAUUGAGCGGCGCUCAAUCGGUCUUCUACUAGAGGUGCCAACCUGUUGAAUACAGAUGUUUGGGAUGCCCCGCAAGCGGGGUACUGUGGCAUCCCAAAUGGAUAUGGCGACAUGCCCCACAUUUGAUUUGGGACAUAUGGUGGAGGUAUGUAUGUGUAUGGAUAUGGCAUAGGUGGAUAUGGGGGUGGAGGUGUCCAUGUAGAUAUGUUAGGUCUCAAUUAGACAGUAUGACCUUCCAUUUCUUCCGAUUGGUGAGGUGGUCCAAUCGGUCUUACCUGAUGUUGCUCACGAAUGGACGAGCGAGGUCGCUUUGCUGGCCGGUCACUGGGGACGGCCUUCUUUUUCAUAUAUUUGGACAAUAACUGAUUGAAAGUCAGGCCAGAUUUGAUUAGCCGACCAGCUGCUUUAAACGUACUAGUUUUCUACGUACCUAUCUCUGGUCGUCGUGGUUUGAAGGUACACGGUCGUUGUGGGUCUUGAGUAUAACCGGACCGUCCGCUGGAAUUCUCCGGACCGUCCGGCGUGGUCCCGGACUGUCUGCGCCUGUGCGUCGGAUCGUCCGAGAUGCGCAGCACGGGCUCCUGCUCCUGCCCCUUAGUCUGCGCUUGCCCCCCAGUGCUGGAGGUCGUGAUGGUCACCUUAAGAGUCUCCCCUCCAUCAGGAGUCUUCUCGGCCACCACUUUUCUGCAAAAAAUCUUAUGAUUCCCAUCGGCCUCUCUUGUGUUGCCGAUGAUUAUCUCUUUGUCUUUUCUUUUAUCGGUUUUGCUUGGCCGAAUGAGGACCUUUUUGCCCUCGAAGUCGAUCGUGUUCAUCGGAAAGGGCUCCGUGUCUACCUGCAUUUCCUGAAAUUUCAAUCGUCCUUCGUUAAUGGCUGAUUGAAUCUGUCGACGGAAUACAUUACAAUCAUUAGUGGCAUGAGAAAAUGAGUUAUGCCACCUGCAGUAUGCACGACAUUUUAGUUCGUCGGCAGAUGGAAUAGUAUGAUUUAUUUUAAUCUUGCCAUUUUUGAAUAAUUCAUCAAAUAUUUUAUCACAUUUGCCAACAUUAAAUGUAAACUUAACUUCCUCUUGUCGUUUCUUUUGAACCAUCUAUAAGGAGGAACAAGCUGAAGAUUUGGCCUAUUUUGGCCAAACCAUUUCAGCCGCGUAUACCUCUGCUAAUUCAUCAUCCAAGCUGCUUUGGUCGCACUCUACUAUAUGCACAUUGUGAUGAAUUGUUUUAGUAGUUUCUUUGCUUUGGCUCUCACAAGCCAAAGCUCUUUGAUGUAAUUGUGCUAGCGUAAAGAACUAGAUACCUUCUAAUCUUUCUUUUAAAUAAUAUCGUAGUCCAUUAAAGGCUAAUCCUGCUAGCUGUUUUUCCGCUAAUUGUAUUUGGAAGCAUCGGUUUCUUGUAUCCUAGAACCUCCGGUUGUAUUCAUUAACCGAUUCAUCCUUCCCCUGCCACAGGGCCACUAGGGCUACCAAAUCUAAUUCAUAAUCACCGGAAAAGAAAUGAUCGUGCAAUCUUUGUUCUAACUCACCCCAUGACAAAAUAGUUAGGAGGUAAAGUGGUGUACCAUGCGAACGCUGUUCCGGUUAAAGACAAUGAAAAUAAACGCACGCGGAAUGCUUCUAUAUCGGCCAAUUCUCCUAAUUGUGCUAGAAACUGGCCUAUGUGUUCACACGUGAUUUUCCCUUGAUCACCCGAAAAUUUUGCAAAUUCGGGUAUCCUGGUUCCCUGUGGGUAUGAGUGAUGAUCAAAUCAGCUGUCAUAAGGUUUCCGAUAUGAUUGCCCCCUAGGGACCAUGCUUACUCCGAGCUUAUCUCAGAACGCCCCAGCUAUUUCUUCCCUUACUAUAUCAAUGGCAGCCGGUGCGAGCCCACCGACCCUCUUGUCAAACAUUGGUUGGGCUGGCUGGAUAUUAGCAUGUUGUCUUUCCCCCCACUGGUUUGAGUUAUGUGGUACAUUAUUAUUCGCUCUAUAUGGUUCAUAGGAUUGACCGUUCCUCCCUGGCCUUCUAGGUGGGGCCGAAAAGUACUCGCUCCCAUGGGCCUGAGAUUCUGUGUUAAUGGGAUGGUGCAUUGUAUAGUGUGAUGGGAGGUGUUGCUGGGACAUGUGAGGAUUCAGGUAACAAUCCUCCUCAAAAAACUCUACGCUGGACCGUCCACUUGGAUAUGCGGACCGUCCGGUGAUAUGCGCGGACUGUCCAGGUAUGUGCACGGACCGUCCGUGAUUAUACGCAGACCGUCUAUUGCUGUAUGCGGACCAUCCAACUGGGUAAUUUUGAUUCUGUGCAGUACGUUGUGGCUCGGGUGCAUGUCUCUGUAAUUCAUUAAAAACGGGCCCAGCCGGUGCUAGCCCGAACGGUCCACGCUCAUGUGCGGACGGUCCGGUCAUGUGCAGAUCGACUAAUUUAUUGUCGAUGUGCGUAGGAGGUUGGGUUGCCCAGGUCAUGUAUCUAUCGGCAUCCCAUAAAGGGGUUGUAACUAGUCGUGACAACUUGUAGCCGAUGAAUUACGCAUGUUUCCCCCAAUUCAAACUCGUGUGAAGGAAAAUUUGCGACAGUAGAUUUAUCAAAUGAACGUACUAGCCUCCUAUAAUCGUUUUGCAUAUCCCCUAUGAUAUUUUGCAUUUGUUCUCAUUGUUCAUCUACAUAAUUCUUAAGAGAUUGUAGCUCGUUUGUGUUACUUACAUUGGGGAUGUCAGGUGUGGGUCGGAGCGAAGCCGGAUCCGUCGCCCGUUGCCGAACGACUUUAUUGUUCCUGUCCACCUUGAAGUUGGCCAGGAACUUCGCCUUUGCCUCUUGAAUCAGCUGCUCCUUGUGCUCCUCGAACUGGAGCUGUUCGUCAGCCGGCAAGGUUUCACAAGUCGGCUCUAUAAUGUUGCUGGGGGAGACUUCAGAGCUAUCUCUUGAACGGGCCAUUAAGGGCCAAUUUGAUAGGUCUAUAUGUGUUGUCCCCAGCGGAGUCGCCAAAAAGUGUGUUGGUGCCUUUUUGGGGCGCCAAUCACUACACAAGAACCCGUGGUGGUGCUCUCUGCACAAGGGGGGACGGUCCGCGGCAAGGGGCCGGACGGUCCAUGACCUGGCGCAGAGCUAAGGUUUUCCUUCCUGUCGGACGGACGAUCCGCGCCCUUGGGUCGGACGGUCCGCGCGUGCGCAGGGGGCGGUGAAAGGUCGCCGGUGGCGCCUGAAUCUCGCUCCCAGGAGGGAUCCCAUCAGGGAGAAGAGAUCCUAGGUGAUGUCUAGGCUCGGGCAGACCGACCUAGACUCCUCUAAUCGACGUAGAGUCGAAGAAAAGCGGUGAAUUUGGGGAUUGAGAGGCUAAAAUAGAACUAGACUAGAACUACUCCUAAUUGUACAGGAAAUAAAUGCGAGAUAAAAGUGUUAUUGAUUCGAUUGAUGAUUACAAAUCGGCCGUAUACCUCUAUAUUUAUAGAGGAGGGGGCUAGACCCGUUACAAACAAACUCCCCGAGCUAAUUCCAUGAAUCUCGUCAACAAACCCAGCAAGAAACUCAGAACCUUAAUCGGUUCUGCGCGCGCGGACUGUCUGGACCGCAGACCGUCCGGCUGCCUAUUUUGUGGCUCAACAACUGGCUCCCAGAAUCAGGGGUUUGGUCUGGGGUCUUCGUCGAAGUUCGCGGGAGCACGAGGUGCACUAGCCAGGCACGAUUGAUGGCUGGAGCGGAGGGAAUUCUUCACCGGAGCAUGGGCGUCAUGGUGGUGUCGUGGGUCAUCGUGGGAGGACUCCCCCACUACACUGCUACCUGUAAGAUGCCUUUACAUGAGUUUGUGUUGUCCUUCGUUACAUGUAGUGCCCUU